AUGCUAUGGAUUUGUUAAAGGUUAUACUAGAUGGAUCAAUCACGGGGAAUGGGAUAUCAAGUUGAAUGUUGAAGAUGAUAUGGAAUGCUCGCGUGAUGAUAUUGAUGGGUUGUUGAAUGAUCAAUUUAGAGAUUUUGCACAGCCUGAGGGAGCUUAUGAUGGUCCAAAUGAAGAUGCCAAAAAAUAUUAUAACUUAGUUGAAGAGGCAAGCCAAGAAUUAUAUCUUGGUUGUACAGGAUUCUCUAAAUUAUCAUUCACACUUCGUUACACGGAUGGAGCAAUGAAUCAUUCACUUCUCUUUUAGAGUUAUUAAAAGAGGCGAUGCCAGAGUUGAACAUUCCUUGGUAUUACAAUAAAACCAAGUCUAUGGUUAAGAAUCUCGGCCUUAAUUAUGAGAAAAUUGAUGCAUGUCCAAAUGAUUCCAUGUUGUUUAGGAAUGAUCAUAAAGAUGAUGAGUUUUGUCAUACAUGUGGAGCUUCACGAUAUAUUAAAAAUCCUAAAGUUGAUGGUGAGGGCGAGUCUUCUAAAAAAUCACAUCGAGUUAAAAAAAUACUAUCCUAAAGAACAGUAUCAUAACUGAUUGUAAAUUUGUGAUAGUUGGCUAAUUAGUCCUCUCAGUUUCUCCGAAAUUCUUCUUUGUGGUAGUUGGCUUAUUGAUACAGCUAAUUUGCAAUCUUUUAACUUCAUUUUGAAUCAUUCAAAGUAGAUCUAGUUUUUGCAUGACUGAUAUGAAAUUUAUAUUGAGAAAUCUCUGAAUUUCAAUUUUUCUAUACAAAAGCCUAAGAUCAACUAUAUAGUCAGGUUGCUUUGUUUUAAUAGGGUAGAUGUUGAAUUGGCUUAUACUUAUUGUUCAACUCAUAGCAUUUUCCUUCUACUUGGCUACUUUUCCACCAACAAUCAUAUUUGACAUUGUAUAUAUAUUCUAGUGUGACAGGGAUCUUGUAAUAAUAUGAAAUUGGCAUAGAAGCAGAAAAAAAAGAUAUUUCAAAAUUGGAGUAGCAAAGAUGAAAUGAUACAAGAAGCUUCAUCCAUGACUACAAAUCAAUCUUUUAUUGGUCUUGCAUCCUCUUCUAACAUCAAAUGCUCUUUUUGUCUAUGUGAAGAAUGUGAGCAACAAUAUUAUUAUUUUAUUAGUCGUGUUAAAAAACUCACUGAUAUUUUUAAGAAAAUUUCUCAUAUUGAUGUCCAAAUAUCCAAGAAGAAUUCACAGCCUCUGAAGUGAAGGAGGUUGAAAAAAUCUAUUUCCAAACACUUUCUACUAUUAGUAAGAAGAAGGAGAAGGAGAAGAAGGAAAAGGAGGAGAAAGAGAAGAAGGAAAAGGAGGAGAAGGAGAACUGAAGCAGAAGAAGGAGGAUAAGAAGAAGGAGAAGGAGAAGGAUAAGGAUAAGAAGAAGAAGGAGAAGCAGAAGAGAAUCAGGAGAAGGAGAAGCAGAAAGAAAAAAUGAAAGCGAAAAACAAAGAGAAGAAAGUCGAAGUCUCCAUUUGUGAUGUGAAACGGCAAUAUCCAUUUGAAGGUUUUAACAUUGACAGCGAGGGUCCAACUGUAAUAAUGUCAUCCUUGUCGCAAUUGAUAAACGAGGGUCUUUACAAGCAUCAUGCAAAAAAGUAAGGUCGUUCAACUAUUAUUAGUAUUUAUUCUUGUUGUCCACUAAAUAAUUAUUUAUAAUGAUUACACAAUCACAGAAGAGACAAGGACGAUCACUACUUAGCCAAUUUCUCAAAACUUCAUUUUGACCAACUUGAUUUUGUAGUAGCAUUUCCAAA
Solanum pennellii is the source of this 1764-nucleotide long non-coding RNA. RefSeq lists it as uncharacterized. The transcript has 2 exons. The record is from RefSeq and is a predicted model, not a curated record. Lineage: Eukaryota; Viridiplantae; Streptophyta; Magnoliopsida; Solanales; Solanaceae.